CCUACGGGAGGCAGCAGUGGGGAAUAUUGCACAAUGGGGGAAACCCUGAUGCAGCGACGCCGCGUGAGUGAAGAAGUAUUUCGGUAUGUAAAGCUCUAUCAGCAGGGACGAGACAAGACGGUACCUGACUAAGAAGCGCCGGCUAACUACGGGCCCGCAGCCGGGGUAAUACGUAGGGGGCAAGCGUUAUCCGGAAUCACUGGGUGUAAAGGGAGCGUAGACGGGUGAGCAAGCCUGAAGUGAAAGGCGGGGGACCAACCCCUGGACUGCUUUGGGAACUGUACGGGUGGAGUGCAGGGGGUGUAAGUGGAAUGCCUAGUGUAGCGGUGAAAUGCGUAGAUAUUAGGAGGAACACCAGUGGCGAAGGCGGCUUACUGGACUGUAACUGACGUUGAGGCUCGAAAGCGUGGGGAGCAAACAGGAUUAGAUACCCUUGUAGUC
RNAcentral lists this ribosomal RNA (441 nucleotides) under uncultured bacterium. RNAcentral describes it as "partial 16S ribosomal RNA". It matches the Rfam family "Bacterial small subunit ribosomal RNA", at positions 338 to 795 of the family's 1533-position model. The record is from RNAcentral.